AAAGGAAUUGACGGGGGCCCGCACAAGCGGUGGAGCAUGUGGUUUAAUUCGAUGCAACGCGAAGAACCUUACCUACCCUUGACAUACAGUGAAUUUUGCAGAGAUGCGAAAGUGCUCGAAAGAGAAUACUGAUACAGGUGCUGCAUGGCUGUCGUCAGCUCGUGUCGUGAGAUGUUGGGUUAAGUCCCGUAACGAGCGCAACCCUUAUUCUUAGUUGCCAGCGCGUAAAGGCGGGAACUCUAAGGAGACUGCCGGUGACAAACCGGAGGAAGGCGGGGACGACGUCAAGUCAUCAUGGCCCUUACGGGUAGGGCUACACACGUGCUACAAUGGCAAGUACAGAGGGCAGCGAAGCGGUGACGUGGAGCGAAUCUUUCAAAGCUUGUCGUAGUCCGGAUUGAAGUCUGCAACUCGACUUCAUGAAGUCGGAAUCGCUAGUAAUCGCAAAUCAGCAUGUUGCGGUGAAUACGUUCCCGGGCCUUGUACACACCGCCCGU
RNAcentral lists this ribosomal RNA (497 nucleotides) under uncultured bacterium. RNAcentral's name for it is "bacterial SSU rRNA". It matches the Rfam family "Bacterial small subunit ribosomal RNA", at positions 903 to 1397 of the family's 1533-position model. The record is from RNAcentral.